AUAGCGCGAUUUGUGUGAACUUGAGGGGCGGUUUGGUCUUGUGCCAUUCAGUUGUAGUGGCUUUGCUGGAAAUUGCUCAAAAUUUGUUGCUAUCCAUGUGGAGUUGUUGUGGGCGGUGGGUUCAGUGGUAGUGCCUUUGCUAGAAAUUGCUGGAAAUUUGUUGCUAUCCACGUGGAGUUGUUGUGGGCGGUGAGUUCACUUUUAUCAGCUGUCUGCAUGGCCUUCGCUUCGCUGGUGUCCGCAUGGUGGCUUUGUUUCCAUCCGUUCCAUUCUGCUCGUACCCCGCGUGUUGUCCUCGCAUAGGGACACGCUUAGCGGUGGAUUAUGAUACGGUACAAGAACCGUUGCUAGAAAGCUUGGCAGUUUCCACUGCCCUCUCAUUCUUUUCUUAGCUUUCUUUGCCAGUUGCUUUUUUUUCCUUCGUCUCUUCCUACUGAAUUGUCUCCUACACCACGUCUUUCUUCAUAGUUGAACCUAAGUGUUCUGGAAAGAGUGCAAGAACCGCUGCGCGAAGGCUUUGCAAUCUCCAUUACUGUGUCUCAUUUGUUUCUUAGUCUGUGCAAAACUAGAUCUUCGAUUUUCCUAUGAUCGGCGGAGUUUGGAGUGCCAACCUCGACAGUUUUGUUGCUUUUAGCCAGAUUUUGAAUUCGGUGUGUUAAGCAUGGUGCCAUGAAACAAUAAUUGGAAUAAGGCUGGUGGAGCAUCUGUUCCUUUUUGGUGUCUUACUCCCUUGCCCUACUGAACACAGGAGUAACGGACAAGAGGCCUAUCCUAUUUAGAGGAUAAAGUUUGUGAUUCAAAAAAAAACCAGACCAGUUGUUAGAGCGGGGUAGGAUAGGCAAUUAACAUGAUUGGUCCCGUUUCAGUUUAAGUUGUUGGAUGUGAGUACGUCGGAUAAGCGAAAGCAAGCAGGAAAUUUAUAUGCUGUACUUUGGCUUCUUUUCUUUCAAUAUUUAUGGAGCCUGCGCAUUGGAUUUGGGACCUUUGGGUUAACUAAUGCAGCAGGUUAUUGUUUUUUAAGUGCUAAAAUUAUGAAGACGCCACUACUGUUAUCUCAAAGAUUUCAUCUCCAAGAAUCAUUGAUGCACAUCACUAAAAACGCAUACAAGUUUUCUAACUCCAUCCCAUUACAAGCAAACAAGAAAUAGAGAAGAAGGGGAAAGUAAUAGCAAAGCCACAAAAAAGGGAGUCCGAGGAGCACGGAGGAGUCAUUGCCUGCUGACCGGAAUCCACCACAGCCACUGCCAUCGCCAUUGUCGUUGAAUUUCUUCACCAAAAGAGCAUUGUGAACUUUCGAUGGUUUUGAAAGGUGAACUUUUCACUCUACUUCUAUUAGCUUAUCGGUUUUGAGUUUAUCAAUUUGCUGAUCAUAAUUGAAGGUCGCAUUGAUGUGAUUUGUUUGUUGUGCUGAUGUCUUUUGUUUUAUGAUUAAGGGCUGUAUUUUUAGACAGGUCAUUCAAACUUAUUUGACGUGCACACCAUAUAUUCGCUAUAUGUCCUCAUUUAACAUCUACAAUCAUUGUGUGUUAGUUUUUCUCUGUUUCAGAAAAUUGUAUGAUGUUUUGGAUUGGUUUAAUGUAAUUUCAUCAAUGCAUGUUUCGAUUGUGAUAUGGUAUUUGCUUGUUCUUUUGUUUUUUGUAAUUUGUUAUGAUAUUAUGGUUCCCUUCCUGUGUUUACAUAGUACAUUAUAUGGUUCACGUAAAUUUGAAUAUUGCAGAGCCAAAAAACUGGUGUCAUUGUCAACGGUUAUGAAUAAAGAAAAUAAGUAAGAGACUUUCGAUGCUUAAUACCCAAGCCAAUGAAAAUGUCCACUUGGAUAGAAACCAAGUAGUUCUUGAUUUGUGAUUAGUACAUGAAUUGGCAACCAAACCCAUGAGCAUUUUGUUUAACCACUUCGAAAUAUUCAUUUGGUUUUAGAUUCUGUUGAAGAUAAAAUACCUUUCAAAUCUUUUGUAACAAAUUGGCAAACUAUUGCAAAAUUGACGUAGCCAGAUGUAGAUUUUUAUAUUGAGCAACAACUUCUUUGAUAUCAAAACUGGUGGAGCAUUAAUUUGUCAUUUUUUUAACAACUCAUUUAUAAUGUAUUGGAGCAAUUGAUUUUUCUUCUCGUAAACAACACCUAACAGGUUUUGCAGUUCCUAUAACCUUCUCUUAUUAUAAUAUCUGUAUAGUUUAAUCCAUUAUAAACUAAUAAGUUUCCAAAAAGAACCAGAAAAGCUAUAGAACAGAAAGGAAUAUAUGGAAGGCCAAUUGGAUGCUAUUUUUCUCUUUUUCUUUCUUUAAUUUUCCUUGUGUAAGACAUGGCCAGGCAUUUCAUACUUUCUGUUUCACUUUGUGUUUGUGUGUGUGUAUGUGUGUUUUAUCUUUUUCCUAUUUUACUUUGUGGGUCUAGCUAAUGUAGUUUGUAAUCUAGCCUAUGAAUAUAUCCAAUUCAUUUUCUAUAUUUGAGAUUUAAAACAUUAGAAAUUACGCAGGAAACUAAUCAAAUUAAAAGGUGUUGAACAUCAAAUUUGCAAGUUCAAUUUUUUUUGAAUGAGUUUAAUUAGGUUGUCAAGAGACAAACUAUUAUAAACUAAUUACAUUAAGGUAUUUGUAUUCCAGAGGCAUUACAACUAACUUUUCUAUCCAAAACCAAGUAACAAGAAAAAUAUAGGUGAUUUUCUAAACAUAUUGAGAGGUUAUUACAGUUGGUCUAGGUGUCAUUCCUAACUUCAAUAAAUGAAUGGUGGUCUAACAAUAUGAACUUGUUAGCCCUGAAUUUAUGCAAUGUAAAGCUAAGAAAAGAUGAUGUGUUUUUUUUUUUUGACAAUUAGCUAUACUUUUUUUUUUUUUGAGUCUGAGCAAGCUUAGACUGUUGAAAUAUGCCAUGGUAGUGAAAUUAGUUCCAAAGAUUCUUUGAUGUUAAAUUCAGGCCACUUCAGAAGAGCGUUCAGCAUGAUUGAUGGGUUAAAUGUAUAAUUUUUGGUUCUCUUUUUUUUCCAGGAAAGGAAGUCAGUUUUUGUCCCAAGUCACUUAUGAAAUUUCACGCAAGUAGCUAACUCUUGAAUUUAAAACAAUUGGAUUUCCCCACUUUUGCAUGAUUUCUUUUUCCCUUGCAUAUUUUGUCUCUUCAAACCAAAUUAACAAAAAAAAAAAAGAGAAAAAAAUGAGAGGCAGGGUCUUGUUCGAGGAAUAGGGAUGAGCUAUUGUUGCCGAGCAGAGUUCGCCACCACUAUUGUGGUGGCAAAAUUUCUUCAUCGGAAAAGCACGGUGAAGUUUCUUCAUUUUUUGGGUUUUCUGAUCUUGUUCUCCAAUUAAUUGGGUAUCCAUGAAACAAACACAGAACACACUCUCAUCUCAGGAGCAACUUAAACGAUUGAAGAACUCAUUCUCAUUUCAGACAUUUCAUUCUCUAGAAUCAUUAACCAUGGAAAAUGAUGGAUAUUGUGAAUGGAUGAAAAGUUGAAUUCAAUCAAAUACAGUUGCGAUUGUCACCUCUUGGUUAUAAAUGUUCCAUAACAGCUAAUUUCUGCUCUGUUUACUCUUUGUAGUAUUUUUCUCCAUCCUAAUUAGUGCCCAAAACCUAUUUGUAAAAUGCCUUAAAGCCAGAUUUAGCUUUCUGAAUUUAAUUAAGAUAAAAUGUUGCAUGCUUAUACUAGGUGUUCUAAGGAUUGCAGAUAGAGACAGCUUAUUUGUUUUAAACCAAGUUUACCACGUUUAGAACCAAGAUAGAGAGAACUCAUAUUGGAGGGAACUUAUUUGUUUUCAGUCAAGUUUACCAUCAUUAACAUAUUUUUGUAGCCUUGGACAAGUUGGAACAUUUACUGUCUUUAGAGUCUAAAGCAAUACAAUCAUAGUUAGAAAAUGCAUCUCCUCAUGCCAAUGUAUGACUUGGGAAUUAGGAUGAUGAUGGUAUUGAAUAGGGCUGGUCACUUCUUGGUUAUAAAUGUUCCGUAGCAGCUAAUUUCUGCUCUGUGUUCAUAUUUCAUUCUGUUUUUUAUUUUUUAAGUUCUGUUUUCUUACUCACCUUUGUUUGGUGAUUUGAUGUUUUGAUUUCAGAUUUCCAAGUUAGCAAAGGGUAAUAAGAUCUCCUGUUUUAUUCCGGUGAUUUGAGUUUCAGAUGAUUCUCUAUUUAUGUGGUGCAUGCUUUGAUUUGUGUUCUUUACGUGAACUUUUGCCUCCAUUUAUGUGGACCAUUGUCUCAGGGCCAACUUCUUCUUCCAAUUGAAAGCUUCCAUUUCCUAAUUUUGCAAGUUGAGCUUUUCUAAAUGAGUCGCCGUUGAAAAUAUGCAAGCUUAGAAGAAUCGUAUGAAGAAAGGAUUAGAAAGAGACGUGAGCAACGUGCCAGUCCGAGUGCUAAGCAUGACUGUGGUAGAUAUCAAGGUGUACGUAUUAUGGCUAUAAGUGCAUUUAACAUAUGCGAAUCUAGCAUGACGAGGACAACAGGUGAUAUCAAUUCAUAUAUCAGCCACCCUGGUGUAUUGAGUAUGACUUAAUAAACCAGGAAAAGGAUUCUCUCACAUCAUAAUUAUUAAGUAUGCAAGUGUUUUAUACUAAA
This is a non-coding RNA of Coffea arabica (coffee), 4537 nucleotides long. NCBI's taxonomy places the organism in Eukaryota, Viridiplantae, Streptophyta, Magnoliopsida, Gentianales, Rubiaceae. The record is from RefSeq and is a predicted model, not a curated record.